Molecule: long non-coding RNA, 954 nt
Organism: Hordeum vulgare subsp. vulgare (domesticated barley)
Lineage: Eukaryota; Viridiplantae; Streptophyta; Magnoliopsida; Poales; Poaceae
Exons: 2
Source: RefSeq, a predicted model, not a curated record
CUCCUUGUGCAGCUUGCUACUGGAUGCUGAUGACAUGCUGUUGAGGUGGUGCCGGCUGCAGGCUCUGUGAGUCUUCUGUUCCUACAGGUUUUAUAUGCAUGACUGUACGUGGGUAAGACAGACCUGGUGUUGAUUGUGCCGAUGGAGCAAUGUGACAAUUGAUAACAAGAUUAUGUAGAUGGGUAUGACAACCCCGGCUGUUCUGAACAUCAGCAACUGUCCCACCAAACGUAAUUGGUAUCAGAAUUGCCCAUGAAUCACAUUCAGGGCAAGAAAUUAGAAAGAUCUAAUAAGGUCAUAUGAUUCAGCCUCUUACAGUGAUCAGUGCCAAUGAGUACACCUCGGGACCGCCGAGGACAAGCGAGAUCGUGUCACGGAGCACUAGCAGAGCCAUCAACUGAAGGUGCAAUACAUAUGGCAUUAGUUGGAUGCAGCAUGAGUACUCGUGCCCAGAUGGAAGGUUUACAAUCUGUAGCACUUACGGCGAUGGCAAUCACACGGCAGUAGGUGACACCUUUUGGAUUGCAGAAUUGAGAGUCAAAGCUUGAUGUGCCAGCACCAUGAUCAGCGGUUUGGGAAACGUUUUCUCCAGCGUUGAGAUUCUCCGGUGUUUCUCCAACUCUCCUGCAGUGAGAAGAGGGCUCAGGAUGUUACAUAGCCCCUUCGCAGACCAAAAUAUUACCAAGGAUCUUAAGCACCAAGUGACACCUGAAGAUAAUUUGGUUUCUUCUGAUCCGAAACAACUUCAAAGGGGCACUGUAGUUUGGUGUAAAUUGCUGUGCCAUAGGUAGCAGAGACAACAAAUUAGUCAACAACCUAUCUUUUGUCACUGAGGACUGAUGAUGGUUUACCAUGAAGUAAAGGGCAAACUGAAUUCAGCUGCUUCUUUCUGGUAUCCGUUGAGAAUCACUCACUUGUAAGCAUAUCUCGCAUAUGGUGUCUCCCUUCUCGUUA